GACGAACGCUGGCGGCGUGCCUAAUACAUGCAAGUAGAACGCUGAAGAGAGGAGCUUGCUCUUCUUGGAUGAGUUGCGAACGGGUGAGUAACGCGUAGGUAACCUGCCUUGUAGCGGGGGAUAACUAUUGGAAACGAUAGCUAAUACCGCAUAACAAUGGAUGACACAUGUCAUUUAUUUGAAAGGGGCAAUUGCUCCACUACAAGAUGGACCUGCGCUGUAUUAGCUAGUAGGUGAGGUAAUGGCUCACCUAGGCGACGAUACAUAGCCGACCUGAGAGGGUGAUCGGCCACACUGGGACUGAGACACGGCCCAGACUCCUACGGGAGGCAGCAGUAGGGAAUCUUCGGCAAUGGGGGCAACCCUGACCGAGCAACGCCGCGUGAGUGAAGAAGGUUUUCGGAUCGUAAAGCUCUGUUGUAAGUCAAGAACGGGUGUGAGAGUGGAAAGUUCACACUGUGACGGUAGCUUACCAGAAAGGGACGGCUAACUACGUG
RNAcentral lists this ribosomal RNA (497 nucleotides) under uncultured bacterium. RNAcentral describes it as "partial 16S ribosomal RNA". It matches the Rfam family "Bacterial small subunit ribosomal RNA", at positions 28 to 507 of the family's 1533-position model. The record is from RNAcentral.